Molecule: ribosomal RNA, 465 nt
Filed under: Vreelandella stevensii
Lineage: Bacteria; Pseudomonadati; Pseudomonadota; Gammaproteobacteria; Oceanospirillales; Halomonadaceae
Description: partial 16S ribosomal RNA
Rfam family: Bacterial small subunit ribosomal RNA
Source: RNAcentral
CCUACGGGAGGCAGCAGUGGGGAAUAUUGGGCAAUGGGGGGAACCCUGAUCCAGCCAUGCCGCGUGUGUGAAGAAGGCCCUCGGGUUGUAAAGCACUUUCAGUGAGGAAGAACGCCUGGUGGUUAAUACCCAUCAGGAAAGACAUCACUCACAGAAGAAGCACCGGCUAACUCCGUGCCAGCAGCCGCGGUAAUACGGAGGGUGCGAGCGUUAAUCGGAAUUACUGGGCGUAAAGCGCGCGUAGGUGGCUUGAUAAGCCGGUUGUGAAAGCCCCGGGCUCAACCUGGGAACGGCAUCCGGAACUGUCAAGCUAGAGUGCAGGAGAGGAAGGUAGAAUUCCCGGUGUAGCGGUGAAAUGCGUAGAGAUCGGGAGGAAUACCAGUGGCGAAGGCGGCCUUCUGGACUGACACUGACACUGAGGUGCGAAAGCGUGGGUAGCAAACAGGAUUAGAUACCCGUGUAGUC